This 253-nucleotide ribosomal RNA is filed under the name uncultured bacterium. Its description in RNAcentral is "partial 16S ribosomal RNA". It matches the Rfam family "Bacterial small subunit ribosomal RNA", at positions 524 to 776 of the family's 1533-position model. The record is from RNAcentral.
UACGUAGGGGGCAAGCGUUGUCCGGAAUCAUUGGGCGUAAAGAGCGUGUAGGCGGCUCGGUAAGUCCGCUGUGAAAGUCCAGGGCUCAACCCUGGAAUGCCGGUGGAAACUGUCGGGCUAGAGUCCGGAAGAGGCGAGUGGAAUUCCUGGUGUAGCGGUGAAAUGCGCAGAUAUCAGGAGGAACACCGGUGGCGAAGGCGGGUCUCUGGGCCGAUACUGACGCUGAGGAGCGAAAGCGUGGGGAGCGAACAGG